Long non-coding RNA from Piliocolobus tephrosceles (Ugandan red Colobus), 2016 nucleotides. RefSeq lists it as uncharacterized. The record is from RefSeq and is a predicted model, not a curated record. The transcript is spliced from 8 exons. NCBI's taxonomy places the organism in Eukaryota, Metazoa, Chordata, Mammalia, Primates, Cercopithecidae.
GGCGGGUCUUGGAUGUUGGGCAACAGCUGAGAGGGCGUCCUUAGCGUGUCCGCGCCCGCGGGUUUCUCCGGGCUCUCCGCAGGCGUCGUGCCCGCGUCCGUCACGCGUGGUGGCUCUCAGGGGCGCACCGCCCAGGCCCUUUGCCGGGCGCUGGGAGGGCGGGGCCCUACACCAGCGACAGCCUUAAAGGAAAACGUGUUAGGGACAAGGGGGUUGUAGACUCAUUUGUGUUCUGAAUUCUGGUGGGGUAGUGAUGGAAGCUGCCCCAGUUCACAGAAUUAUCUGACUGGGGAGGUAAAGGUACUUGAAUUGCAGGUGCCGUUUUUGGCCCUGUGUCCCCUUUAUUUUGGCCCAGUGUGCUUCCGUUUGAGUAGUCUGUAGUGGAACUUUUUUUUUUUAAAGUUAUUUGAAAACACGUGAUGGAGCAGAAUGAGAGUAGUAGGGAGGAAUUCCUGGGAAUUUGCCUUUUUUUUUCCCCCCUUUCUUAACCUUAAGGAGUUUCCACUUGUCGAUUGUGGCAAAAGAAGAGGUAUGGGAGAUCUCACCUACAACAUCAAAAAUCACCUUUUCUAUUUGUUUUUCUGUUCGCUGGUGUGAGUAAAAUACCAAAUGAAAAUAAAAAGUUAAGGAAAAAAAAUCAAGGUGAACUGAAGAAAAUAAGUCCCCAAAGCAGGCAGAAGAUGGGGAAGAUGAGAUGUCAGAAGCUAAGGACAAUAGCAGUAGAGAUGAGAUAUUGAAGUCUUUACUAUGUUCUUCUGAGAGCCUCUCCUUUGAAAUUUGAAAAUAGGUUUAAGUUGAGUCCUGAAAGAAUUAAGAUGGGACUGUCUAGUUGCAGGAAAACAAGCUCAAGGCACCCACUGAUUCUACAUCUAUGGUUCUUGUCCCUCAUAAGAAUUGUGGGAAGAAUACUACUGCCCCAGGAAGGAAAGUAGGGGAGGAAGUCUCUGGCUCCUGUGUUUGCUGAGAAGUUAAUAUCACCAAGCAGGAGGGGAGCCAAGCUCAAGGACCAUGAGAGCCACCAGGAGAAUGACGACCGGAACAGUGAAUUGGACCAGGAUGAGGAAGGAGAUUUGGCUAUGUGAAUUUUAAAUCUGCUGAUGAUCAAGAAAAGGCCCUGGAACUAAGUGAUACAAAAGUCCUUGGGUUUGAAAUUAAAUUUAAGAAACCAAAGAGAAAGGAAACAAAGAUCAAAAUGCCGAAACACUUUGACUCAAGAACCUGCCUGACAAAGUCAUUCCACAUGAAACACUUCUUGUGUUUGAGGAUGCUUUUCAAAUCAGAUUAGUGAGCAAAGAUGGGAUGAGUAAAAGGAGUCACUUUGUGCUAAAAAGUUAAAAAUGGAUCCCGUCAUGGACACAGUAAUUUACAGCAUAACCUGGAUACAUUCCCAUGGCUCAAACCAUAGAAAGUUCAACACUUUGUUCAGUGAGUUAGAUGCACAAUAUGGAAGCCUGUUCUGUGACAUGGAAGUGAAGUGGAUGAGUCGUGGUAUGGUGCUAAAGCAGUUUUUUGAACUGUUGGAAGAAAUUGACUUUUUCAUGUCUUCUAAAGGAAAAUCUGUGCCUCAGCUCACUAGCAAAAAUUGGGUCAAAGACUUAGCCUUUUUGAUUGACAUGACAACACAUCUAAAUACGUUGGAUAUUUCUCUGCAAAGGCAUUCACAAGUGGUUACACAAAUGCAUGAUUCAAUUUACUAAUUCCUAGCAAAAUUAUGUCUUUGGGAAACUCAUUUGACAAGGAACAAUCUGGCCCACUUCCCUACACUGAAAUUAGUUUCUGAAAAAGAAAGCAAUGGCCUGAACUAUAUUCCAAAAAUUAAAGAAUUGAAGAGUGAAUUCCAAAAAGGAUUCUCUGAUUUCAAACUUUAUGAAAAUGAACUGAUAUUGUUCAGUUCACCUUUCUUGAUGAGUGUUAAUCAUGUGAAUGAAGAGCUGCAAAUGGAAAUUAUUGAAUUGCAGUGCAACACUAUACUGAAAACUAGAUAUGAUGAUGUGGGAAUCCCAGAAUGCUACAGAU